AAAAUAGAAGGCGCUUGCCUCUUGGUUUCUCAGGUGUCAGGGGCAACGCACUGGACAGCAACAGAUAUCCCAGGACUCUGUGCAGGAGAAGAUAGAACUGAGCGGAGUGAAGAGUAGAAGAGACUGAAAACAUAUGAUCAAAAAAACAAGAAGAAAGGGAACCGUGUACCAUGUUAAUAUGAUGACAGAAAAGAAAAGCGGUGGGAUACAAUGGACAAGAAGACAUGCUCAGUUACCAACCAGAAUGAAACAAAUCUCUAAGAUGACUCUGAAUUAGUGGCACCUGGAGGAGAUGAGUCAAACACAGAGGAAGAAAGUGUUAGUCAGCAUUUAACAGCUGACUCUGGGACAAAGAAUCCCAAGAGGAAAGAGAUGACAAAUGCUGGCUAAUUGUUGCCUCAAAGCACAAGUGAUUGCCUUUGAAAUAUUUCCCAAAUGACCAAAGGAGGACAUGGUCCAGGAUCCUCUGCCUGAGCUUAAGGAAUACCUCUCCUCUCCACAAUGCCCAAACGAGUAAAUAAUUUCCAGGGUCAAAGCUUUCACAAGCUGAGGCGAGCCUGCAUGCGCCGAGGGGCACUCUUUAAGGAUUCGCUGUUUCCCGCCACCGCCCAAUCCCUCUUCUACAAGAGGAAGCCCCCGCCGGGACUGACGUGGAAGAGGCCAGGGGUGAGUGUGACUUGCAGGGAGAAGCACUGAAUCUUUCAUUUUCCUGAAAGUAUAUUAAAUGCC
This is a long non-coding RNA of Etheostoma spectabile (orangethroat darter), 729 nucleotides long. RefSeq lists it as uncharacterized. The transcript has 3 exons. Lineage: Eukaryota; Metazoa; Chordata; Actinopteri; Perciformes; Percidae. The record is from RefSeq and is a predicted model, not a curated record.